Aegilops tauschii subsp. strangulata is the source of this 3779-nucleotide non-coding RNA. NCBI's taxonomy places the organism in Eukaryota, Viridiplantae, Streptophyta, Magnoliopsida, Poales, Poaceae. The record is from RefSeq and is a predicted model, not a curated record.
CCACACCUCUGACGCCUCCCCCUGACCUCGCGCCCCCAUCGCCCCUGUCACCACGCGCCGCCCACCUUCCCGCUGACCUACGCCGCCCCACCUUCCCGCCGACGCGCCGCCCUGCCAUCCCCGCCGCUGCGCGCCGCCCAGCCACCGCAUCCCCUACCCGCGCGCUGCCGACGCCGGCCGGCCGCCCCUUCCUACCCACGCGCCGCCGGCCUCCCGCCACUCCCUACCCGCGCGCCACCGCCGCCGGCCGCUCGCCCCUCCCUACCAACGCGUUGCCGGCACCGACCGGCCGCCUCUCCCUACCCACGCGCUACCGGUGCCGUCCUCCACGACCCCGCCGCGUCUGGCGUGGUCCUCCCCCGCCCAGCCAGCCUCCUCCUUCCGCCUCGCCGGCGACCUUCUUCCUCCAGCUUGCCACCGCGACCUCCCCCUCCACCUCUCCCUGGUGCGCUGCGGGGACAUCCCGUUCAUCCAGCGUGCGGCUGUGUCAACCUCCUCGAGCUCCACUGCCCGCCUCCCGACCUCCAUUUAGCUGCCACCGUACUGACGCUCCCUUCUCCCAGGAACCACUGCCGUCGGUCCUUGCUUCCUGCGCGCCGCCGCCGCCCCGGGACCCAACGCGCCGCCGCUCCUCUGAUUCUGCUCCCCGGCUCUGCCUGCAAUUCUUCCGCCGAUGUUAUUAUAUGCAGGGCCCUGUUUAUGAAUUACAAGCAAUAGCAGCACUUGUAGAGUAGCCAAAAAGGAGAAAACCGAUGCAUACGUCGUCUUCUUCGUUAUGUGAAUGGCUAGAGGGGCAGCUUCAGUUUCCAUGUGUUGUACAAAAGAUCCAGGACUGCAGGAGAAGAUUUGUUGUUGAAGAAGUGAAAUUUGUUGGGUGCAUGUGCAGAAAAAUCGUCAGUUCAGUUUUCAAAAUUCUGGCCAACGACGGUUGCCGCUCCUCGACCCUAUUCCCGCUCGUCACCCAGCUCAGCAGCCCACCUCGGUGCUCCACCACUGGUCGCUCGAAGAGCUGGCUGCAGACCAUCCAUUGCUCCGCCUCUGGAUGCUGCCGUGUGGUGGCUGGCCGUCUCACUCCAAUGCACCACCCUCUCUUUGUUUACUGGUCUCUCUCAAGAGCGGAAGUUGUCCCUGAUGUACUCUCUGGAGCACAAGUUCAACAUCAUAGUCUAAAAAGGUUCACUGAUAUCAUCAUGAGGAAUUCAGAUUUUCAAAAGGUUCAUAUAAGAAACCACAUGAAAAUACAUAGAACAAAAAAAGAUUCAAAGAGUACUAAUGCUCCUGACAGGACUACAAGUCUUUCUGUACAAAUAUUCAUCUUUGGUAUAUUUGUAGCUAUAUAAUAACACAAGAUUUAGUUCGACACUGCAAUUGUUCUGUGAGACGCAGUAUAAAUUUUAAAGUUGGGGGAGUUCAAAUUUUGGACAUUUUUUCUGAAAAAAGUACAGUUUCACUUAUUUGAACUUUCUUGUGUAACAAGUUUGGAAAAGGCCAUCCCUGGGAAAGUUCAUAUGAGUAACUAUAAAAGGGGUCAGAGAAUAAAAUAAUUUGCCCUGAAACAAAGUUAAAAAAGAACAGGAUAAGUUCAUGUUUCAAAAGUUUGCAAGUUCGGAGGCAUAAACUAGGUAAGCUUGUAGCAUAUUUUACUAGGCAAAAAUAUCUGACCCUUGUACAUUUUUACUUCCAACGACGCUCCCGUUCAUCUGGUGACCAGGGCCAGCUCCUUCUCUGUGGUGGUUCCUGGCCUUGUGUGGCAACAGGUCGCGGUCUUCGUGUGAGUCGUUGGUCCAUCGCCCUCUUUGUGCACAUGGAACUCCUUUCCUUCUCACCUAAAGCAUUUUGUGCUCUGGCUCUCUCCACUCCCUGCCAAACUUCCCGAGGCUUGUUUCAAAUGCCCACUGUAUUACUGUACCUACUGCUCUCUGCACUCUCCUGCAGCUAAUGCUAUCUCCACUCUACUGUAUGUUUUGCUUGAUGAACAAGUAUGGACAAAAAUAUGUUGAAUAGGGAGAGUUCAUGUAUUACUGCCAUGCAAAAAAAACCUGUAACAAGUACAAAAAUGAAAGGUGGGCAAAACAAAAAAGCGAGCUUCCAAGUAGGAAGUUUGAUGCAUCUGCUACUGCUCCUUUUGUGCUUAUGGUUUACUCCAAACAAUUUAUUUCAACGACAUCUAAUGCAGAUGGCUUGCAUUUUGUGCUCCGUGGGUGUUUGUUCUUAUUCCUGAAAGAAAAAAAAAAUGUAUUGCAUUUGAUAGUUCAUCCAACAGUGCAAUGGCAGAAAGAACAUCAGUUCAAAAUGUAUGUGCAGGAGGUUUGGGUGCCAAAAGUCCGAUAUUUUGUUGUGUUUAAAUUUUUCGGGUGCAUGAUUGAGCAAGAUAUAAAUAAAAAAUGAUGUAUGAUAUAUAUUAUUUUCUUGUAGGAGGUUCAAAGAUUGUCGUGGAGCAAGUUCAAGAGUAAAGCCUGCGUGAGUCAUCCAUCGUCUUCCCACAUCUAGCAUCGGAGUCUCUCCUCCCCCAUUCCGCGCACACAGGUCAGGCUGUCGAGCACCUCCUCAGGUGAGAGGGCGGCGAGGCCCUACCAUCUCCCGGUGAUGGCUUGCUGGCACACCCUGCAAAUUCACCUCUUACCAUGGGGCAGAGUCUUCAUGGAUGAACUAGAUCGUCGCCUACAAGCUCUGCUCCAGGUCAUCUCCCUCCUCUGUUGUUCUUCCAUUAAAAAUAAAUUGUAGAAUUUUUAAUUGGCUUCCAUGCGUAAAGAAGCAUCAAAAGUGAUGCAUCAUUGACAUUAAUCCUCUAACAAAAGAGUACAUAUGAGAACCUGCUCCUGGUUCAGAACAGCAUGCACUCAUACACUUCUUGAAAAAAAAAACUGAAUUUCAGUUCAGAGCACUGGCUCCGGCAGCCGCAGUACCCCAUCUCCCCUGGCUCCCACACCACUGCGCCAUCUCCUCCCGGCGGGGCUCCGCCGCCGGAGCGACCUGUCCAGGCCGAGAUCAUCUUACAUGUCAAGCACCAAACCGAAACCCCUGGUACCCACCGCGACUUGUGCUGCUGGUGCUAGUGUGGAUGUGUACCAAGUUCAACUACCAGUCUACGCCGAGUUCAGGGUACCGUGACAUUGAGUAGGGGCGAAGUGUAUCACUCCAGCACGCCAUGCUCCAGUGCAUGUCAACGUCUUCCCCAUUGCAAUGGAAGCUGCAGAUUUUGCUUGGCUCUACUUGCCUUUUUAGUGUUUGCUUUAAUGCCUCAAUGGUGCACCGUGCAUCUUUUGCACUCUGAAGACAGAUUCUGAUUAGUCUGUUUCUACUAUUAGUUCAUGCAAACCUGGUUAUAUGAUGUCUUGUUUUUGUCAUUGUUACUCGAUGUCUCAUUUUCCUGUUUUCUGUUAUUUUUUCUUAUAGGGAAGGUUCUUGUAAUUAUUAGUUCUUUGACUGUAUGAUGCAACCGCUUACUCGAUGUCAUUGUCAUUGUUCUUGUAGUUGCAUAUAUGAAAGUGUGUGCUUGGUUUGGUUCCAUUUAUCAUUCUCUCAUGCCUGCCUUUUGAUCUUAUAGGAAUUGAGGCUUCGCCAAGGAACAAGACUGGUAACUAGCGCAAAGGAGACUGUCGAGAGGUGGCACUGCUAGACUUGCUGAUGUGUAGUUGUGGCAUAAAAAAGAUGAAAAAAUGGUAUCUUGUAUGAUUCCAUAAGGUGUACGUAGAAAAUCUUCCCAUGUGGAUCAGUACAACUUAUGUACGGCCUUGAGUUCACAAAUCUUAUAGUAAUCUUUGUAGUACUCUUCGUAA